RNAcentral lists this ribosomal RNA (230 nucleotides) under uncultured bacterium. RNAcentral describes it as "partial 16S ribosomal RNA". It matches the Rfam family "Bacterial small subunit ribosomal RNA", at positions 333 to 578 of the family's 1533-position model. The record is from RNAcentral.
UAAGGCCUACGGGAGGCAGCAGUGGGGGAUAUUGCACAAUGGGGGAAACCCUGAUGCAGCGACGCCGCGUGGACGAAGAAGUAUUUCGGUAUGUAAAGUCCUAUCAGCAGGGAAGAAGAAAUGACGGUACCUGACUAAGAAGCCCCGGCUAACUACGUGCCAGCAGCCGCGGUAAUACGUAGGGGGCAAGCGUUAUCCGGAUUUACUGGGUGUAAAGGGAGCGCCGGCGG